CUUGGUCAUUUAGAGGAAGUAAAAGUCGUAACAAGGUUUCCGUAGGUGAACCUGCGGAAGGAUCAUUAUCAUACAACCGAGGCGUGAGGGCUAUAUAGCCCGAGCGUUCUCACUGUUAUCCACUUCACCCUUGUGCAUCACCGCGUGGUGCUCCCUUUGGCUCGUUUCAAAGGGGCCCAUGUUUUUUUUUCACACAAACACCCCUUUAAAAGAGUUUAGAAUGUUCUUUGCGAUAAUACGCAAUCAAUACAACUUUCGACAACGGAUCUCUUGGCUCUCGCAUCGAUGAAGAACGCAGCGAAAUGCGAUACGUAAUGUGAAUUGCAGAAUUCAGUGAAUCAUCGAAUCUUUGAACGCACCUUGCGCCCCUUGGCAUUCCGAGGGGCACACCCGUUUGAGUGUCGUGACAACCUCAAACCUUCUCGGUUUCUUGACCGGGGGAGGCUUUGGACUUUGGAGGCAUCUUGCUGGCUUCUUUCUUUGAAGCCAGCUCCUCUUAAAUUGAUUAGUGGGGUCCCCAUUGCAGUUCCCUCGACGUGAUAAGAUGUUUCUACGUCUUGGGGAGAUAGGCAUUGUAAACCUGCUUCGAACCGUCUCGUUGGAGACAUUGAUUGGGCUUGCCACCUUCCGUGGGUGGGAAGCUCAACCCAGAAACCAUUGACCUCAAAUCGGGUGAGACUACCCGCUGAACUUAAGCAUAUCAAUAAGCGGAGGA
This 715-nucleotide ribosomal RNA is filed under the name uncultured fungus. RNAcentral's name for it is "eukaryotic LSU rRNA". The stretch from base 251 to 404 matches the Rfam family "5.8S ribosomal RNA". Lineage: Eukaryota; Fungi. The record is from RNAcentral.